UACGUAGGGUGCAAGCGUUGUCCGGAAUUAUUGGGCGUAAAGAGCUCGUAGGCGGUCUGUCACGUCUGCUGUGAAAACUCGGGGCUUAACCCCGGGCCUGCAGUGGGUACGGGCAGACUAGAGUGCGGUAGGGGAGACUGGAAUUCCUGGUGUAGCGGUGAAAUGCGCAGAUAUCAGGAGGAACACCGGUGGCGAAGGCGGGUCUCUGGGCCGUAACUGACGCUGAGGAGCGAAAGCGUGGGGAGCAAACGGG
RNAcentral lists this ribosomal RNA (253 nucleotides) under uncultured bacterium. RNAcentral describes it as "partial 16S ribosomal RNA". It matches the Rfam family "Bacterial small subunit ribosomal RNA", at positions 524 to 776 of the family's 1533-position model. The record is from RNAcentral.